GCAAGUCGAGCGCGAAAGCACUUCGGUGUGAGUAGAGCGGCGGACGGGUGAGUAACGCGUAGGAAUCUACCUAGUAGUGGGGGACAACUCGGGGAAACUCGAGCUAAUACCGCAUAAGCCCUACGGGGGAAAGCGGGGGACCUUCGGGCCUCGUGCUAUUAGAUGAGCCUGCGUUGGAUUAGCUAGUUGGUGGGGUAAAGGCGCACCAAGGCGACGAUCUCUAGCUGUUCUGAGAGGAAGAUC
RNAcentral lists this ribosomal RNA (243 nucleotides) under uncultured bacterium. RNAcentral's name for it is "partial 16S ribosomal RNA". It matches the Rfam family "Bacterial small subunit ribosomal RNA", at positions 57 to 305 of the family's 1533-position model. The record is from RNAcentral.